UUAUUUCCCUUCAGCCCAGUUUAAGCAAUGACGCCCAGCCCGCAAAGGCCGUUAAACGCCAACCGCAAGGGGCAGGCCAGGCCGGCACAGCACCUUCGGCUCCCCCGCCGCGACCCCGGGAGGCGCCUAGGCGGAGGGGCGGUGCUUCAUGGCGGGGACGAAAGGGGGCUGCCUGCCGCCAGCUACCGUGUCGUGCCGCCUGGAUUGGUGGCACAGGCCUUACAGCACGGUGGGAUCGGCUAAGGGAGAGGCUGGGGUCAGGCCGUCGUAGGGGAGAGGGGCGAAAGGUACACACCCAGCAGGAGACCGUCCAUGUCAAAGAUGAGGUAACUCACCGCUGAGCAUCAGGAUUGUUGAAGCACCGAUUGCAGAAACAGACAUGCAAAGAGCAGUGUUAUACUCCCAAGGUGACAUAGUGGCUUGGAGAUUUGUGCUCCGCAGUUCUGUGCGAAGGCAGCUUCACACGUGUGAAAUUUUGUCUAUUUUGUCUGUAGGUAGGCCUCUCAGUAAUUCAUUUCUUUCUGACAAUGUCUUAAUUUGAAUUGACAGUGCUUUACCGUUUUAGCAAGUUAGUGGUGUUUUUCUAAAGCCCAGACUACUACCACUGCAUGUCUGGAUUUUAAUUUAGCCUCCUUAUGCAUCUUACUUACACCCGAACCCUGUCCCCUAAAAGAACCCUCGUCCUUCCUUUGUGAGAAUAUCAUAGGCACAAAGUCCUUGUACUUUCUCCUAUCUCGGAAUCCAGAAGACAAAUGAAACUUGUUGGCCUUUACCUGUACCUUUUUAAUAAUAAAAAUUGACUUGCAAACAAA
This is a long non-coding RNA of Pogoniulus pusillus (Red-fronted tinkerbird), 812 nucleotides long. RefSeq lists it as uncharacterized. The transcript is spliced from 2 exons. The record is from RefSeq and is a predicted model, not a curated record. NCBI's taxonomy places the organism in Eukaryota, Metazoa, Chordata, Aves, Piciformes, Lybiidae.